UACAGAGGUGGCAAGCGUUGUUCGGAAUUACUGGGCGUAAAGGGCGCGUAGGCGGCCUGCUAAGUCGAACGUGAAAUCCCCGGGCUCAACCCGGGAACUGCGUCCGAUACUGGCAGGCUUGAAUCCGGGAGAGGGAUGUGGAAUUCCAGGUGUAGCGGUGAAAUGCGUAGAUAUCUGGAGGAACACCGGUGGCGAAGGCGGCAUCCUGGACCGGUAUUGACGCUGAUGCGCGAAAGCCAGGGGAGCAAACGGG
Molecule: ribosomal RNA, 253 nt
Filed under: uncultured bacterium
Lineage: Bacteria
Description: partial 16S ribosomal RNA
Rfam family: Bacterial small subunit ribosomal RNA
Source: RNAcentral